UCCUGUAAAUAUAAAAAAAUUGGUUUUGAUCCUUGUAUUUUGUUUCAGUCCUUGUAAAAUUGAUUCAUAUUGAAUUUGGUCCUUGUAAUAUGUAGAAUAUUUGAUUUUAGUCCCUCAAAAUGAGGACUAAAAUGAAUAUUAUAGGGACCAAUUUCAAUAUGAAAUGAUUUUACAAGGAUUAAAACAAAAUACCAAAGACCAAAACCAAAUAUUCUAUAUCUGCAGGGA
This 228-nucleotide microRNA precursor is filed under the name Medicago truncatula (barrel medic). RNAcentral describes it as "MIR2630 microRNA precursor family". It matches the Rfam family "MIR2630 microRNA precursor family". Lineage: Eukaryota; Viridiplantae; Streptophyta; Magnoliopsida; Fabales; Fabaceae. The record is from Rfam by way of RNAcentral.